This 410-nucleotide unclassified non-coding RNA is filed under the name Hevea brasiliensis (rubber tree). Lineage: Eukaryota; Viridiplantae; Streptophyta; Magnoliopsida; Malpighiales; Euphorbiaceae. The record is from RNAcentral.
AAUAAAUUUCAAAAUUUCAAUGAACAAAAUUCUACAACUCAAAUAUUAAUUAUACAACUUAGAUACAUUAAUAUGGUCUAAACUAUCACAUUUAAACCUUUAAAAUUAUUGCUAAAAUUAUACAUGUUAUAGAGAUAUCUAAAAUUGUAAAGAUAUCACAUUUACCAAAAUUACAAACUUAACUAGACAAAUGAUUUGGUGACUUAUUCCUGCCUGCCAAAUAGCCUUUGAAUUGCAUCUUCAGCUAGCCUUUUUAAGUGUUCCAAAUCUCUACCUACCAAUAGACAUAGGUCUUCACAUGGGUUGACUGCGACUCGUAUUACCAAGUAGACCUAUAAACUCAAAAGUAACACACCAUAGAUGAGAACCUAAAUCAAAGCAAGUAGCACAAUUGUCAUAUAACCCAAUAA